This 472-nucleotide ribosomal RNA is filed under the name uncultured bacterium. RNAcentral describes it as "bacterial SSU rRNA". It matches the Rfam family "Bacterial small subunit ribosomal RNA", at positions 355 to 825 of the family's 1533-position model. The record is from RNAcentral.
UGGGGAAUUUUGGACAAUGGGCGUAAGCCUGAUCCAGCCAUACCGCGUGAGUGAAGAAGGCCUUCGGGUUGUAAAGCUCUUUCAGACGGAAAGAAACGGUUACGGCUAAUACCCGUGACUAAUGACGGUACCGUAAGAAGAAGCACCGGCUAACUACGUGCCAGCAGCCGCGGUAAUACGUAGGGUGCGAGCGUUAAUCGGAAUUACUGGGCGUAAAGCGUGCGCAGGCGGUUUGGUAAGACAGAUGUGAAAUCCCCGGGCUUAACCUGGGAACUGCAUUUGUGACUGCCAGACUAGAGUGUAGCAGAGGGGGGUAGAAUUCCACGUGUAGCAGUGAAAUGCGUAGAUAUGUGGAGGAAUACCGAUGGCGAAGGCAGCCCCCUGGGCUAACACUGACGCUCAUGCACGAAAGCGUGGGGAGCAAACAGGAUUAGAUACCCCCGUAGUCCCUGAGCGGGCUGGCAAGGCGCAU